UAGGGAAUCUUCGGCAAUGGACGAAAGUCUGACCGAGCAACGCCGCGUGAGUGAAGAAGGUUUUCGGAUCGUAAAACUCUGUUGUUAGAGAAGAACAAGGACGUUAGUAACUGAACGUCCCCUGACGGUAUCUAACCAGAAAGCCACGGCUAACUACGUGCCAGCAGCCGCGGUAAUACGUAGGUGGCAAGCGUUGUCCGGAUUUAUUGGGCGUAAAGCGAGCGCAGGCGGUUUCUUAAGUCUGAUGUGAAAGCCCCCGGCUCAACCGGGGAGGGUCAUUGGAAACUGGGAGACUUGAGUGCAGAAGAGGAGAGUGGAAUUCCAUGUGUAGCGGUGAAAUGCGUAGAUAUAUGGAGGAAAACCAGUGGCGAAGGCGGAUCUCUGGUCUGUAACUGACGCUGAGGCUCGAAAGCGUGGGGAGCAAACAGG
RNAcentral lists this ribosomal RNA (429 nucleotides) under Gemmatimonadota bacterium. Its description in RNAcentral is "Gemmatimonadetes bacterium partial 16S ribosomal RNA". It matches the Rfam family "Bacterial small subunit ribosomal RNA", at positions 355 to 776 of the family's 1533-position model. The record is from RNAcentral. Lineage: Bacteria; Pseudomonadati; Gemmatimonadota.